RNAcentral lists this ribosomal RNA (433 nucleotides) under uncultured bacterium. RNAcentral describes it as "partial 16S ribosomal RNA". It matches the Rfam family "Bacterial small subunit ribosomal RNA", at positions 29 to 507 of the family's 1533-position model. The record is from RNAcentral.
AACGAACGCUGGCGGCAUGCCUAACACAUGCAAGUCGAACGAGACCUUCGGGUCUAGUGGCGCACGGGUUCGUAACGCGUGGGAACCUGCCCUUAGGUUCGGAAUAACUCCCCGAAAGAGGUGCUAAUACCGGAUAAUGUCUUCGGACCAAAGAUUUAUCGCCUUUGGAUGGGCCCGCGUUGGAUUAGCUAGUUGGUAGGGUAAAAGCCUACCAAGGCGACGAUCCAUAGCUGGUCUGAGAGGAUGAUCAGCCACACUGGGACUGAGACACGGCCCAGACUCCUACGGGAGGCAGCAGUGGGGAAUAUUGGACAAUGGGCGAAAGCCUGAUCCAGCAAUGCCGCGUGAGUGAUGAAGGCCUUAGGGUUGUAAAGCUCUUUUACCCGGGAUGAUAAUGACAGUACCGGGAGAAUAAGCUCCGGCUAACUCCGUG